GCCAAUGUGGUGAAGUGGUUUGAGCAUUGGACUGUGGCUCUGGAGACCAGGGUUUGAAUCCCUGCUCAGUCA
Molecule: transfer RNA, 72 nt
Filed under: Phrynosoma platyrhinos (Desert horned lizard)
Lineage: Eukaryota; Metazoa; Chordata; Lepidosauria; Squamata; Phrynosomatidae
Description: tRNA-OTHER
Source: RNAcentral